This 1507-nucleotide ribosomal RNA is filed under the name uncultured delta proteobacterium. RNAcentral describes it as "16S ribosomal RNA". It matches the Rfam family "Bacterial small subunit ribosomal RNA". Lineage: Bacteria; Deltaproteobacteria. The record is from RNAcentral.
AGAGUUUGAUCCUGGCUCAGAACGAACGCUGGCAGCGUGGAUAAGGCAUGCAAGUCGUACGAUCCGCCUUUGGCGGAUAGUGGCGAACGGGUGAGUAACACGUGGGUAAUCUACCCUGGAUACCGGGAUAACAUACUGAAAAGUAUGCUAAUACCGGAUACGAUCGCGGCAACUUAUGUUGUUGCGAUGAAAGGAUGGCCUCUAUUUAUAAGCUAUCGAUCCUGGAUGAGCCCGCGGCCCAUUAGCUAGUUGGUGGGGUAAGGCCUACCAAGGCAACGAUGGAUAGCCGGUCUGAGAGGAUGGUCAGCCACACUGGGACUGAGACACUGCCCAGACUCCUACGGGAGGCUGCAGUCGAGAGUCUUUCACAAUGGGGGAAACCCUGAUGAAGCGACGCUGCGUGGAGGAUGAAGGCCUUCGGGUUGUAAACUCCUGUCACUAGGGACGAAUUGUGCGCCUGUAAAUAGCAGACGCAUUUGACGGUACCUAGAGAGGAAGCCACGGCUAACUCCGUGCCAGAGCCGCGGUAAUACGGAGGUGGCGAGCGUUGUUCGGAUUUAUUGGGCGUAAAGCGCGUGUAGGCGGCCGCGAAAGUUCGGUGUGAAAUCCUUCGGCUCAACCGAAGAAUGGCAUCGAAAACUUCACGGCUAGAGUACGAGAGAGGUAAGCGGAAUUCCCGGUGUAAGAGUGAAAUCUGUAGAUAUCGGGAGGAACACCAGUGGCGAAGGCGGCUUACUGGCUCGAGACUGACGCUGAAAUGCGAAAGGUAGGGGAGCAACAGGAUUAGAUACCCUGGUAGUCCUACCCGUAAACGAUGGACACUAGGUGUAGGUCCUUUUAAAGGAUCUGUGCCGCAGCUAACGCAUUAAGUGUCCCGCCUGGGGAGUACGGCCGCAAGGCUAAAACUCAAAGGAAUUGACGGGGACCCGCACAAGCGGUGGAGCAUGUGGUUUAAUUCGAUGCAACGCGAAGAACCUUACCAGCCCUUGACAUACUCGGAACUUUCCAGAGAUGGAUUGGUGUCUUCGGGAAUCGGAUACAGGUGCUGCAUGGCUGUCGUCAGCUCGUGUCGUGAGAUGUUGGGUUAAGUCCCGCAACGAGCGCAACCCUUGUCCUUAGUUGCCAGCACUUCGGGUGGGAACUCUAGGGAGACUGCCGGUGACAAACCGGAGGAAGGUGGGGACGACGUCAAGUCAGCAUGGCCUUUAUGCCUGGGGCUACACACGUGCUACAAUGGCCGGCACAAAGGGUUGCAAUCCCGCAAGGGGGAGCCAAUCCCAAAAAACCGGCCCCGUUCAGAUUGGGGUCUGCAACUCGACCCCAUGAAGGCGGAAUCGCUAGUAAUCGCGGAUCAGCACGCCGCGGUGAAUACGUUCCCGGGCCUUGUACACACCGCCUGUCACACCACGAAAGUUGGUUGUACCAGAAGUCGCUGGAGCUAACCCGUAAGGGAGGCAGGCGCCCAAGGUAUGGUUGAUGAUUGGGGUGAAGUCGUAACAAGGUAACC